UUUUUUUUUUUUUUAGGGUCGCAUCCACGGCAUAUGGAGGUUCCCAAGCUAGGGGGCUGAAUUGGAGCUACAGCUGCUAGCCUAUGCCACAGUCACAGCAAUGUAGGAUCUGAGCUGCAUCUGCAACCUACACCUCAGCUCACAGCAACACUGGAUCCUUAACCCACUGAGCAAGGCCAGGGAUUGAACCUGCGUCCUCAUGGAUACCAGUCAGAUUCAUUUCCACUGAGCCAUGAUGAGAACUCCUAAAAAAACUUUUUUUAAAAAAAGAAAAAAAUUUAAAAGACAGGUGUCAGAACUAUGUUCAGUAUGGCACCACUGAUGUUUAAGCUAAUUUGCUUUCAUACACAAGAGAAUGUAGAGUUUGGAAUGCGGGCAUGACUCUCUGGCAAGAGAGCAAGGGAACAGAUGUGGGAGGGAGGAUUUUAACCUCAUAUCAUUUUCUACCUUUUACUUUGUAACCAUCUAUACCUUUUACCUACAUCCUUUAAACAGAAAUAAAACUGGUUUGCCAGCCUCCAUAAGGAUGAACACAACUCUCUCUGAAAUCAAAAGAAUCUAAAUAAUAUCUGAUAACAAGCCAAGACACUAAAAAGAAUGUACUCCUAUCCCAGGAACUUCCAUAUGCCACUGGUGUGGCUGUAAAAAAACAAUACUAUAGACUUCCCUGGUGGCUCAGUGGGUUAAGGAUCCAGGGUUGUCACUGGUGUGGGUUUGAUUCCCUGGCUGAGAAUUUACAUGCUGCAGGCGUGGCUAAAAACUUUUUUUCUUAUUUUUAAAAAAAGAAUGACAGAACUACAAUACAACCAUUCCUUCUCACUGUCCAUCUGAGAGAGGAGGUCUGAACAAGGGUGUUCAUUACAGCAUGGUUUGUACUAGGGAAAAAUUGAAAACAGACUAAACUUUCAUCAACAAGAAAAUGGCUAAGGAAGCAAUGUAUUAGAGAAUACGCUGUGGACUGAACGUCUGUUGCCUUCCCCCACCAGAAUGAAUAUGCUAGGUCCCUAGCCCCCAGUGUGAUGGUAUUGGGGCAUUUGGGAAGUACUUAGGUUUAAAUGAGGACAUGAGGGUGGGGACUCUAGGAAAGAGACCCAGAACUUGUACCCUCUAUGCCAUGUGAGGAUGCAGAGAGAAGAAGGCCAGCUGUGAGCCGGAAGAGGGCUUCAUCAGGAAUCAAAUCAUCUGGCACUUUGAACUUGGACUUCCCAGCCUCCAGAACUGUGAGAAAUAAAUGUCUAUUGUUUAAGCCACCAAGUCUAUGGCAUUUGGUUGUGCAGCCUGAGCUGACUAAUAGAAGUACCAUGAAGCCAUUCAAAAGUAUAAAACAUAUGUACGUACUGACAUGGAAAGAACUUAAAGACCCAUAACUGGAAUAAGCCAGUUAUGAUUACAAUAUCACAGUGUUGUACACUUAGGUAAAAGAUAUUCAUGUAACAAUACUAUAAAAUCAUACAGAGAUGCAUAGAAAACUGUCUAGAAAUAUAAACAUCUAACAAAUAAGAUAAUUUGGGUAUGUGGGAGAUUUAUGGUCAAAAGGGAUGUUAGCUUUGCUCAUAAAUUUUAAAUUUUUAUAAAAAUGUACUUCACUAUUACUUGUGUAAUUUUAUUUUAUUUCUUUAAAAAUUUUUUUGCUUUUUGUUUUUUGUUUUUUUUCCUAGGGCUGCACCCAAGGCAUACGGAAGUUCCCAGGCUAGGGGUCAAAUCGGAGCUAUAUCUGCUGGCCUACACCACAGCCACAGAAAAACAAGCUCCAAGCCUCCUCUGUGACCUACUCCAUAGUUCAUGGCAAUGCCAGAUCCUCGACCCACUGAUUGAAGCCAGGUAUCAAAACUGCAUCCCUCAUGGAUACUAGUCAGUUUUGUUUCUGCUGCACCAUAAUGGGAACUCCCUUAAAAUUUUUAUUGUUAUUAUUUUUUUUAUGGCCGUGCCUAUGGCACAUGGAAGCUCCUGGGCCAGAGACUGAAUCAGAGCUGCAGCUGUGACCUAUGCCACAGCUGUGACAACACAGACCCUUUAACCCACCUCGACAGGCUGGGGAUCAAACCCACACCUCUGCAGCAACCCAAGCUGCUACAGUCAGAUUUUUAAUCCACUGUGCCACAGCAGGGACUUCCAUAAUUUUAAAUUAUUUUAGGAUGUACUUCUCCAAAAGGUUCAGAAAGGAUAGCCUGACCCUAAGCCACUAGGUCAGUCUACUUCUGGGGUAUUUUUAGAAUCGAAAUUCUAAAAUCUGCCUUCCAAUCUGAGAGUUUUUUCCACAACCAUUUAGCUCUCCAUCUUAAUUUGGAAACCAAUAAAAGUUACAUUCUCUGCUCAAGAGAGAAUAAAGCAGGACUUAUCCCACCAGACCCAAUGAGGAGAUAAUGCACUAAACAUAACAUGGUUAGAUCUCAACAAGGUUAGCUAAGACAAUUAAUUUCAAAGCCUUCCAACUGACAGCAAUACACAAAUUAGCUUCCACAUCAGCUUUAGGAAACUAAUUUUGCUACGGUAAAGAAUUCAGUAGGGGGUUCUGAUGCCUUUUAAAGAAGAAGAAGAUUCACUUCAAAGGGAGAUGAAACUAUUUUUCUAGAGCAACUUCGUAAUUAUACCACAAGGACAAUGUUUACCUCUAAAACAAACACCCAGUAGGAAUAUGCUGGAAGGAAGAAAGAAGCCUCAAAACAGUGGCAGGUUGAAAUCUGUAAGAGACAUCCGUGAGAGGAAAAUAAAAAGAUCAAAAGUCUCAGAAAGUUUGUUAGCAAUUAUAGUAUGCACCAACAUUUAUUUAUUCAGUCAAAAAAUAUUGAGUUGACAGUGUCAGGCGCUGGGGAGACAGUAGUGAGCAAGACACACGAAAACCCUGCCUUUGUGACAUUCUGGCAAUAAACGUAAUAACAAUCUGGGCAGGUAAAUAAGGAGUACCGGGUAAGAGGUUUCUACUUUAAAUACAAUGAGUGGUCAUGGAAGGUCCCACUGAGAAGGUGAUGUUUGAGCAUCACCUUGAAGGAAGCAAGCCUGGUAUCUAAGGGAUGUUUGAUCUAGGCAGAGGAAACAGCAAGUGCAAAGUUCCUGAGGUAGGGACAGACCUAGCCUGUGUUUGUGGGGCAGCAAGAGGCUAAUAUGGGUGGAGCAGAGAGACCAAGUGAAGAAUCCCAGGAGAUCUUAUGAGAGGAAGCCAGGAGCCCGAUGGUGUAGGGUCCUGCAGGCCACUAUAAGGGCUCGGGUUUUCACUUGGAGAGACGGGAGCCAUAGAGGAGUUUAGAGAGGAGGAGGAACAUGAACUCACAUACCACUGAAUACUCUGAAGGAGAGCAAAGGGAGAGGUAGACCAGUUAGGAUGUCACUGCCCUAACCCAGGUAUUAUAAGUAUUUCACAUAUUAAGUCAUUUACGUCUCAACAUGCUAUGAGGCAGGUGUUAUUAUCAGGCUCCAUUUGUGAAUGAGGAAAGUGAUGGAGUUACGGUUGUACAGUCAGUGAGCAGCAAAGCCAAGAUUUUAACCCAGGCAACAUGAUUCCAAGCCUGGGCUCUUGAUCAGUCUAUGAUGCCACCUGUGGUGCAGGCUAAGAGAGAGGAGCUGGCAUGUGGGGAGGUUGCUAAGGACCAGAUGCAAGAGGAGAGGUGGCAUCUGUUCAUAGAGGGAAAGAGGAAACUCAGAGAAAGUUUGAGGGAAGACCAAGAGGCGUGUGCAUGGGGAAGGGUCCAAGAUGUCAUCACAAAUCUUUAGUUGUAAUGAAGUCCAGUUAUAAUUCUUGCCACUGAAUUUUAAAACAUUUCCCUGAUCUCACCUAAAAUCCUUCAUUUUUAUCUCAGCUACUUUGAAUGGAUCUCUGCUCUUUGGAACCAAACUAAUUCCCAUAUGUGCCAGGCACUGCAGAUACUAAGAUAAAGUAUGGUUCCAGCCCUCCAAAGAUUUAUGGCCACCUCAAGUCUGAUGAUGAACUUAGUUAUUUUUUGAGCCAAUCUUUAUAGGAGAUACAUAUGGAAGGUUGUAUCAAGCACAACACAGAACACUUUACAUGCAUUCCAUGAGGUGGAUGUUAUAAUUAGCUCCAUCUUACAGAUGAGGAAAGGAAGGCUCAGAGAUGUUAUGUCCCUUACACAAGAGGAUGGUGUGAUAAAUGGCAAAACCCACACUCCAGCUUAGGUGUGAUAGGCUCUAAGGGCCACAGUCUGAAGCACUGAGUUUCCCUUGAGCUUGUUGUCUCUGUUCUGUGAGGCACCUCAUAGAGCUGCAGAGUCUCCACUCAACAGCUUCUACCCUUGCUGUGGGCAGAAAUAAUCUGGCAAGUCACCCCUAACAUCUCAGAGUCCAUAUCUAGGGAAAUUGGCCUUUAUUCCAAAAAAACUGGAAUUUGGGCAUAACAGUUUUGUGCACACAGUUGGAACAUCAUACCCUCCUCUCUACCCCUUCCAUGAUGCUUACCUUUUAGUCCUCCCACUGCUAAGUUCCUCUGUGUUUACCGAGGUUUUUUCAAUGAGUCCACACCUCUCUAUGAAAUAGGUACUAUUUUUAUUCCCAUAUUUAUUGGUGAGGAAACUAAGGCUCAGAGAGGUCAAGUCACUUGCCUAAGGUCACAAAUGUAGAAGUGGCAGAGCCAGAAUGUGAACCCGAGCAGUGUGACUAUGGAUUCUACAUACUGGAAUCAUUUUGCUGACUGGUCAGUUAAGUUACAGACAGAAUGAGAAAAGUAAACAAGAAAGGGGAGUCAGAAUGUCAAGUCUUGAAUCUAUAAAUGGCUCUAACCUGGUUUCAUUUUGGAAGACAGCCCCUCCAAGGGCAUAGCUAUGGGUCACAGGCCUGCAUGGGAAAUAGCUCUUCUACCCUCGUGGGCUUAGGGGUGACCUGGCCCUGCUGGGGAGACAAGAUAAAUGGAACCUUUGUCGAGGGACAGAGAAUUUACAAUGCAAAACGAAAGAGCAGCAGACAGCUGCCACCAGCCCCCACCUCUCACAACAUCCCUCCCCACAUCCAGAAAAAAAGUGGAAAGCAUCAUUUUUUCCAUGAUUAUGACUGCCUCCUGGAGGGGAUUGCAGUUGGGCCCCAACUGUAGUUUCCCCACCCCACAGAUAGACUACAGGGGUAUAAUUGCUUUUUAUUUUGGAAACGGUAGAUGGAAGUAGAUUCUGAAAUCUACCCACUCUUAGUCACCAAUUCCCUCAAACUCUUAGAACAUGCACACAUGCAGCACACACACAGUUCUUUGUUGAAGCAAACUAUGCCCAUCCUUUAAAGCCCCCUGAAAUCUCACCUCUUGUGGUAAGCCUUCCUUGAACACCCAAAGAGGAAGCAUCUCUCUUGCCUCAGAUCUCCAAGAAUCAGAGUUUCUUAGAGGAAACCAAGUUCAAAGAGAUUAACUGACCCAGGUCCACAUGGCACAAAAAAUGUCAAAGCCACACUAGAUUUCAAGUGUCUUCAUACCUCUCCCCAGGCUAAUUCUCUUCCAUGAGAUCAAGAGUUCUAAUUAUCUCUAUCCUACCCCUGAACACUUUCUGACUGGAGGAUAGUAUUCAUCAUAUCAGUGUUGAUUGACUGGUAAUGGCUGUCUGGAACACUGUGUUGAGAAGGUCAGCAUGUUGC
This 5562-nucleotide long non-coding RNA is filed under the name Sus scrofa (pig). Its description in RNAcentral is "lncRNA (ENSSSCG00015067312.1)". The record is from RNAcentral. Lineage: Eukaryota; Metazoa; Chordata; Mammalia; Artiodactyla; Suidae.